UUACGAGCCGAGUGGCCGUAAAGCUGGC
This 28-nucleotide small RNA is filed under the name Bombyx mori (domestic silkworm). Its description in RNAcentral is "ovarian small RNA-36522". The record is from RNAcentral. Lineage: Eukaryota; Metazoa; Arthropoda; Insecta; Lepidoptera; Bombycidae.